ACUUGCCACACUAGCGCUAUUUUGGCGAGUCUUCGUAUUAUAAUUUGCUAUUUACAGCUGAACACUUUUUCAACUGAUACCCGAUAUAAGACUGUUUUCCUUACUUCUACCCUCCAUAUUUAGAAUUCUAAUAAAACCUGCCUAAUCGAUGGUUCGGAAUGUAAAUGUACAUCAAUUAUUUUAAUUCAACCAUAGCUUUAAAUGCAUUAAAAAUGGUAGAAGUAGUAAUUUGACUCUACUUUUCCAAAUAAGAUGUUUUUUCCUUAAAAAUGAAAAUAGUAAGUAAGAAACUCAAUGCCAACAAGUUGUUUGGAUAGAUCUGUAUAACUUAAAGAUAUUCAUGAAGAUAAAAGUGGUGGAAGUACUAACUGAAAACCAAUUCCCCACCUAAGAUGAUAUUUCCAUUAAAAUGCAAAUACUAAGAAAGAAGUUUAAUGGCACCAUGUACUUGUUCAGUAUAAAUUGAAGAUAUUACUCAUUAUGGUCUCCUUAAAGUCUGCCUUUCUUCAACACUCAUUAAGAAGUGUGCCAACAAUUGAUUAUUUAUUUAUAGAGACCAGUAGAAGUGAUUCCUGAAGAAACGGUUGAUGAUUAGGUCAGAAAAACACCCAAAUCAAUCCUAUAUAGUUUGAUAUGAAGAGGAAAAGUUAAAGUUAAGCAUUAUAAGGUAAAACGUAGGACAAUUCAUAAGUAGUGCUCAUGCUGUCAUUUUGAUGGGAUUACAAAGAUGUUGUGUUUUUUGAGCUGCUUCCAAGGAACCAAACAAUUAAUUCUGAAGUUUACUGACAACAAUUAACGAAACUGUAUGAAGCCAUUAAAGAAACACGGCUAGAAAUAUCUAAUCGAAAAGGUUUACCGUUCCAUUAUGAUAAUCCAAGGACCCACACAUCCUUGGCAACUCGUAGGAAACUAUUGGAGCUUGGCUGGGAAGUGAUGGCACAUCCCCCAUAGAGCCCUGAUCUGGCACCAUCUGAUUUGAAUAGUCAAACUUUCACAAAUGACGAUCACCUUCAAUCGCACCUGGUUAAGAAAAUUUCGAAGACUCCAUUUUUCCAUGUAUUACUUUUUGAUUUUUGCUCUAGACAGUUGAAGAAUACCUAGAACUGUUUUUGAUUUUGUUUUAAUCGUUCGUGUACCUCAAGAAUUUUCAGCUUAAGUGCAGGUAUAACCAAAGGAACCGACAUAUAAAUUGUACACUAUAACAGAAGCUGCAGCAAUAGAGGAAAUUUGAAGAAUAGAUUUAUCUAAAUUUUUUAUCAAUUGUAAGUUUCAUGACAAAACAAAAACUUAUCAAUUGAAUAUUCAAUUAUGGCAGUGUGCUGAGCAUUGUAUUGAUGAGCCAAAAUAGUACAGAAACAUCAAAUUUGAAACUAAUCCCUUUUGAAGAAUCAUCUCUGCUCUACGCGUUAACUAGAAAUUUAAGUUAAUAGAUGAUUCUCCACUCCAAAAAAAUAAA
This is a long non-coding RNA of Diorhabda sublineata, 1456 nucleotides long. RefSeq lists it as uncharacterized. NCBI's taxonomy places the organism in Eukaryota, Metazoa, Arthropoda, Insecta, Coleoptera, Chrysomelidae. The record is from RefSeq and is a predicted model, not a curated record. The transcript is spliced from 4 exons.